This 254-nucleotide ribosomal RNA is filed under the name uncultured bacterium. RNAcentral's name for it is "partial 16S ribosomal RNA". It matches the Rfam family "Bacterial small subunit ribosomal RNA", at positions 524 to 776 of the family's 1533-position model. The record is from RNAcentral.
UACGGGGGGGGGCAAGCGUUGUUCGGAAUUACUGGGCGUAAAGGGCUCGUAGGCGGCCAACUAAGUCAGACGUGAAAUCCCUCGGCUUAACCGGGGAACUGCGUCUGAUACUGGAUGGCUUGAGAUUGGGAGAGGGAUGCGGAAUUCCAGGUGUAGCGGUGAAAUGCGCAGAUAUCGGGAGGAACACCGGUGGCGAAGGCGGUUCUCUGGGCCUGACCUGACGCUGAGGAGCGAAAGCGUGGGGAGCGAACAGG